Unclassified non-coding RNA from Pongo abelii (Sumatran orangutan), 148 nucleotides. It matches the Rfam family "Metazoan signal recognition particle RNA". From Rfam's summary of the family: The signal recognition particle (SRP) is a universally conserved ribonucleoprotein. It is involved in the co-translational targeting of proteins to membranes. The eukaryotic SRP consists of a 300-nucleotide 7S RNA and six proteins: SRPs 72, 68, 54, 19, 14, and 9. NCBI's taxonomy places the organism in Eukaryota, Metazoa, Chordata, Mammalia, Primates, Hominidae. The record is from Ensembl.
GCCGGGCAUGGUUGCGCAUGCCUAUAAUCCCAGCUACUCUGAAGGCUGAGGCAGGAGAAUCACUUGAGCCCAGGAGACAGAGGCUGCAGUGAGCCGAGAUCGCGCCACUGCACUCCAGCCUGGACGACAGAGUGAGACCCUGUCUCAA